This 253-nucleotide ribosomal RNA is filed under the name uncultured bacterium. Its description in RNAcentral is "partial 16S ribosomal RNA". It matches the Rfam family "Bacterial small subunit ribosomal RNA", at positions 524 to 776 of the family's 1533-position model. The record is from RNAcentral.
UACAGGGGGGGCAAGCGUUGUUCGGAUUUACUGGGCGUAAAGGGCGCGUAGGCGGCUUAACAAGUCACUUGUGAAAUCUCCGGGCUUAACUCGGAACGGCCAAGUGAAACUGUUAUGCUAGAGUGCAGAAGGGGCAAUCGGAAUUCUUGGUGUAGCGGUGAAAUGCGUAGAUAUCAAGAGGAACACCUGAGGUGAAGACGGGUUGCUGGGCUGACACUGACGCUGAUGCGCGAAAGCCAGGGGAGCAAACGGG